UACGGAGGGGGCUAGCGUUAUUCGGAAUUAUUGGGCGUAAAGGGCGCGUAGGCGGCCCGGUAAGUCAAAGGUGAAAUCCCUCGGCUCAACUGAGGAACUGCCUUUGAAACUGUCGGGCUUGAGGCCGGGAGGGGGUAGCGGAAUUCCCAGUGUAGCGGUGAAAUGCGUAGAUAUUGGGAGGAACACCGGUGGCGAAGGCGGCUCUCUGGACCGGUACUGACGCUGAGACGCGAAAGCCUGGGGAGCAAACGGG
RNAcentral lists this ribosomal RNA (253 nucleotides) under uncultured bacterium. Its description in RNAcentral is "partial 16S ribosomal RNA". It matches the Rfam family "Bacterial small subunit ribosomal RNA", at positions 524 to 776 of the family's 1533-position model. The record is from RNAcentral.